This 1083-nucleotide long non-coding RNA is filed under the name Ficedula albicollis (Collared flycatcher). Its description in RNAcentral is "lncRNA (ENSFALG00000014139.2)". The record is from RNAcentral. Lineage: Eukaryota; Metazoa; Chordata; Aves; Passeriformes; Muscicapidae.
AUGGGGACACCUCCCACUGUCCCAGCUGCUCCAGCCCCAGUGUCCAACCUGGAACUGAACAUUCCAGGGAUCCAGGGGCAGCCACUCUGUCCCUCCAUUCCCUGUGUCCUGCCCCUCCAUUCCCUGUGUCUGUCCCUCCAUUCCCUGUGUCUGUCCCUCCAUUCCCUGUGUCUGUCCCUCCAUUCCCUGUGUCUGUCCCUCCAUUCCCUGUGUCUGUCCCUCCAUUCCCUGUGUCUGUCCCUCCAUUCCCUGUGUCUGUCCCUCCAUUCCCUGUGUCUGUCCCUCCAUUCCCUGUGUCUGUCCCUCCAUUCCCUGUGUCUGUCCCUCCAUUCCCUGUGUCUGUCCCUCCAUUCCCUGUGUCUGUCCCUCCAUUCCCUGUGUCUGUCCCUCCAUUCCCUGUGUCUGUCCCUCCAUUCCCUGUGUCUGUCCCUCCAUUCCCUGUGUCUGUCCCUCCAUUCCCUGUGUCUGUCCCUCCAUUCCCUGUGUCUGUCCCUCCAUUCCCUGUGUCUGUCCCUCCAUUCCCUGUGUCUGUCCCUCCAUUCCCUGUGUCUGUCCCUCCAUUCCCUGUGUCUGUCCCUCCAUUCCCUGUGUCUGUCCCUCCAUUCCCUGUGUCUGUCCCUCCAUUCCCUGUGUCUGUCCCUCCAUUCCCUGUGUCUGUCCCUCCAUUCCCUGUGUCUGUCCCUCCAUUCCCUGUGUCUGUCCCUCCAUUCCCUGUGUCUGUCCCUCCAUUCCCUGUGUCUGUCCCUCCAUUCCCUGUGUCUGUCCCUCCAUUCCCUGUGUCUGUCCCUCCAUUCCCUGUGUCUGUCCCUCCAUUCCCUGUGUCUGUCCCUCCAUUCCCUGUGUCUGUCCCUCCAUUCCCUGUGUCUGUCCCUCCAUUCCCUGUGUCUGUCCCUCCAUCCCUUGGGAAUUGUCUCUCUCCAUGUUUCCUGCAGCUCCUUCAGGCCCUGCAAGGCCACCCUGAGCUCAGCCCAAAGCUUCUCCUGUGCAGGUGAACAAUCCCAGCUGUGCCAGCCUUUCCUGCCAGCAGAGCUGCUCCAUCCCUCUGCUCAUCCUGCUGCCUCCUCUGGACACACAAAUCCAUGA